AAUUAAUAAAAUUGUAUUUAUUUAUAAAGUAAGAGGUUGAUCAAUUAAAUAAAUUUAUGUCAUUGUAUUUUUGAGAAAUAGGAUUGUUUGAACUAUAGUAAAUUAGUAUCGUGAGAGAAAUUUUAAGUUGAAGUAUAAUUUGUUAAAGGAAAUUUAUUUUAUUGUAUCUUGUGUAUCAGAGUAUAUUAAAUUGAAUUAUAUAUAUUAUUUUUCUCGAAUUUAAAAGAUUUAAUUAAAUAAGUUAGUUGUUGUAUCAUAAACAUUAAUAAUAUUUAAUUGGUAGUGAAAUGUUAAUCGUUUUUAAGGAUAUCUAGUUUUUUAAUAAAUGAAUUAAAUUCAGAAGAUAAUAUUUAUUUUAUAAAUAUUUAUUUAAAUAUUUGUUAUCUUAAAUUUCUGAAGGGAAAAUCUUUCAGAAAAAUUGUUUAUAAUAAAUUUGUGUAGGAGAAUUUUAUGAAUUUAGAAGUUGUUAUUAAUUAAAGGAUGUUAAAAUUUAUUUCUUUUUUUAGGAGAUUUUAUGAUUAUUUAAAGUGUUUAUUAAAAUGUUAAAGUUAAUUUUUAAGUUUUAGUAAGUAUGAUUUAAUUAGUAAAUGAAGAUGUAAAAUAUAAAGAAAAUGAUAUAUUAGUAUGAAGAAUUAGGCAAAAUUUUUGCUCGCCUGUUUAAUAAAAACAUGGUUUCUUGAUUUGUUUAGGAAAUUUGACCUGCCCACUGAAGGUAAUUUUAAAGGGCCGCAGUAUUUUGACUGUGCAAAGGUAGCAUAAUCAUUAGUCUUUUAAUUGAGGGCUGGAAUGAAUGGUUGGACGAGGCAAAUUCUGUUUUAUAUUAAUUAGAUUGAAUUUAGAUGUUAAGUAAAAAUACUUAAAUUUUAUUAAGGGACGAGAAGACCCUAUAGAGUUUAAUAUAUUAAGUUUUAAUUGAGUUUAUAAGUAAUUUUUGGUUAAUUAUAAUGUAUAUUUGAUUGGGGUGAUUAAAAGAUAAGUAAAACUCUUUUUUGGUAUAAAUAUUUUGGUAAAUUAAAAGAUCCAUUAUGUAAUGAUUAAAAGAUUAAAUUACCUUAGGGAUAACAGCGUAAUUCUCUUUGAGAGUUCAUAUCGAAAAGGGAGAUUGUGACCUCGAUGUUGGAUUAAGAUAAAUUUUAGGUGUAGAUGUUUAAAAAUUAGGUCUGUUCGACCUUUAAUUUCUUACAUGAUCUGAGUUUAAACCGGCGUGAGCCAGGUUGGUUUCUAUCUUUAAUAUAUUUUAUUGUCUUAGUACGAGAGGACCAGACAGUAAGAAUAAUUCUAUUAUUUUGGUUACUAUUAAUAUG
This 1304-nucleotide ribosomal RNA is filed under the name Sinomantis denticulata. RNAcentral describes it as "16S ribosomal RNA". The stretch from base 604 to 1304 matches the Rfam family "Archaeal large subunit ribosomal RNA", at positions 1423 to 2808 of the family's 2987-position model. Lineage: Eukaryota; Metazoa; Arthropoda; Insecta; Mantodea; Nanomantidae. The record is from RNAcentral.